CCUACGGGCGGCAGCAGUGGGGAAUCUUCCACAAUGGGCGAAAGCCUGAUGGAGCAACGCCGCGUGAGUGAAGAAGGUCUUCGGAUCGUAAAGCUCUGUUGCACGGGACGAAAACCGAGUUUGAGAAUAUUGAACCUGGGUGACGGUAUCGAGCGAGGAAGCCACGGCUAACUACGUGCCAGCAGCCGCGGUAAUACGUAGGUGGCGAGCGUUGUCCGGAAUUAUUGGGCGUAAAGGGAGCGCAGGCGGACAUAUAAGUCCAUCUUAAAAGUGCGGGGCUCAACCCCGUGAGGGGAUGGAAACUGUAUGCCUUGAGUGCAGGAGAGGAGAGCGGAAUUCCCAGUGUAGCGGUGAAAUGCGUAGAUAUUGGGAGGAACACCAGUGGCGAAGGCGGCUUUCUGGACUGUAACUGACGCUGAGGCUCGAAAGCCAGGGGAGCGAACGGGAUUAGAUACCCGGGUAGUC
RNAcentral lists this ribosomal RNA (465 nucleotides) under uncultured Selenomonas sp. Its description in RNAcentral is "bacterial SSU rRNA". It matches the Rfam family "Bacterial small subunit ribosomal RNA", at positions 338 to 795 of the family's 1533-position model. Lineage: Bacteria; Bacillati; Bacillota; Negativicutes; Selenomonadales; Selenomonadaceae. The record is from RNAcentral.